Molecule: non-coding RNA, 232 nt
Organism: Cinara cedri
Lineage: Eukaryota; Metazoa; Arthropoda; Insecta; Hemiptera; Aphididae
Source: the annotation of a GenBank genome assembly
CUAUUCAAACGGCCCGCCGCCCAAAACUCGUCGUCGUGCGGGUGCCGGGUACAAUUACGCCACGUCGUCCGAAUAUAUAAAUAUCACUUGUAAUUUGUUACGUAUAUGAUAAACCGAUGUUAUGAUAUUGGUAUUUGUUGACCUAUAAAUAGAUUUUCCUUUAUUAUUAUUCAGACCAGCGGUCCUUUCGGGCUCAAAACCUAUUUAUUUGAGGAUCUUAUUACGUCGUUAC